CCUUGGCUCUGUGACAGGGUGGGCAGGGUGCGUGAGGGCGGGGCUUGCUUCCAGCUCAGCUUUUGUAAAUCACAUGCAAAUCCUUCUGCCCAGAAGGUGUACCUGCUAGACCCCACGUGACAGCACCUGUCCCUGGUCUGGCCUACAGUGGGGUGGAGCUGUAAAGGGGGGGGGAACCCCACAAGUGUAGGACUGUGGAUGCCUCCUGGGAGUGGAAGUUGAGGCCUGGAGGGACCUUCACAGGCUCCAGAAGGGCUGGAAGGAAGGGCCUUUGCCUUCUAUCUUUAAGCCGCUUAGGGAUUCCUCCUGACCUCUGACUCCAUAGGCAGGUGGCAUGAGGGCCCAGGUGCUACACACCUGAGCAUUAGUGAGCAAACUCCUUGAGUUCUCUGGCUGUCAUUCCACCAUAGGUCUCAGGGCCCCCGAUCCAAGGAGGAGUUCCAGGAAGUUUUGUCACUCUUCCAGGGCCCCCAACCCUAACUACCCUCUUCCCUCCAGGAGCUUCCUUCUGGCAUGUGGAGAACUUGGGGGGAGUGGUGGGGGUUGGGGGUCCCCAGUCAAUUCUCUCUUUGGUCUAGGUCAGAGUCCUGCCUCUCAGGUCCCAGAAACUGUCCACCCUAAGGCCAUAUUUGCCUCCCCAAGCCUGUAGUCUUUGGCAGCCCUGAGUGCUGAGCUCUCAGAAGCUAGGAGUUUGUCAUCUCCAUUCUGCCUGUGAGGCCAGUUAGCAAUGAGGGGCACCCUCAGAGAGAAGGCAAACUUGCCUGUCAGGAACAAGGACUGUCCUGUUCCCAUCUUCCUCGGCCCCCCGGGGGGCAGGGGGGACCUUUGGGACAGGGUCUUCACCUGGGUCAGAGUGAAGGACUGAAGGAGAAAUGGAUGUCCCGUGGCUGAGACACAGCCUGGAGCAGCGGGCAUUUUCCCUGCGUGUCUGUCUGUCCACCACCUGCAUGCUCAGUGCCCUUGGAGGCCAGAAGAGGACAUCGUACCUCUGAGAUCUAGAGUUUUGGAUGGUCAUAAGCUGCCAAGUAGGUGCUGGGAAUUGAACCCAGGUCUUCUGGAAGAGAGAAUGGUAUCCUUACAGUGACCAGUAUACUUCCCACUGAGCCAUCUCUCAAGCCCCUGGAUUUUCAAUUUGAAAGUCUCACACUAAGCUUCCCAGGGUGGCUUUGAACUCAUUCUGUAGCCCAGGCAAGCCUUGAGCUCUCAGUUCUGCUUCAGAUGCCUGAGUAACUGGGCGCUGAACCACACACCCCUAGGCCUUCCUUGGAUUUGUUGUUGUGCCGAGACGAGGUCUCUCUAGCUCUCCCUACCUGUCUAACUUUCUCUGUAGAUCAGGCUGCUCUUGAAUUCAUGGAGAUCCACCUGCCUCUGCUUCCCAAAUGCUGGAACCAGAGGCAGGUGCCGACUCACUCAUCUCUGUCAUAAAUUAUUAUUAUUUAUUUUUAAAUACAUGCUUGUAACCCAGCACCAAGGAGGCAGAAGAAGGAAGAGCAGGAUUCAGUUAUUCUCAGCUACGUAUAGUAAGUAUGAAGCCAGCCUGAGCUACAAGACUGUCACAACAAAUGAACAAACCAAAAGCAAAGCAAGUAAUUAUUGUACCAGCACAAUUAAUGAUAAUAUUAUUAAUGUUUUGAGACACUUUGAUCUGACUCUGGAGCUCCAGACAGCAGAGUUUGCCCUGGCUAGCAAACUUGUGGCAAUCCUCCUGCCUCACCCUCUCAACUGAUGGGAUUACACUUCAAGGGGAGACGAUCAUAGCCGGGGAAGAUAAAUGCCAUUGUUAUGCUGCCCUUACUUUCCUCAUGAUUUCUCUUAGAAUUGUGUUUGCCUCCGAUAAUGCCUGCCACUGGUUUCAUCAGAUCAGAGAGGCAGCAGCGCCCUCUGGUGUCCAAAGCUCAGACCCACAAAGGGGAGAACAAGAGAAGAGGCCCCGAGGAAGGGCAGAGUCAUAUGACUCUGCCCUAGAGUGCCAGACCAAACGCUGGGAUAGUAUGCCAGACAUUGCAGUCCCGUUCUGGGAAGCUAGGCUGUUAGGAGCCUAUGGAGAUGCUGUCGCAGAUUAGACUAAAAUCAGGAUCUGUAUUGGCCAGAGCCAGCCCGGACAGAGGAGAUAAAGUUGUUUCCAAAAUCUUUUCCAGAAAGUUCUGAAGCACUAAUCAUCCUUCCACAGGAUGGAGGGAAUAAUCCUUUCCAUAAACCAUGGUGGAGGACUCUGUCUGGCUUUAGAAAGGCAUUUUGGAAGGAUGUUUUCCAUCCAAAGGGGGGUCCCCCUUCCUGGAGGGGGACAGCCAGGUCAGCACAAGGGUAGCAAGACAUCUUGGGUUCCCUUCCUUGGGCUGCUUCUGUUCCUAAGGCAACUGCCAUACUGGCCCCUGGCACCAGCACUGCUGGAAACUCCAGGAUUUUUCUGACUGAGGACAGGUGGGAAGGGCACUUUGUUGAGCACUUACUACGUGCUGGAUAGUUUUUAAAUUAUCAUUUGAUCAUAAUUCUAGAUCAUCUAGAUGUCUUUGGAUGUUGAGGUUGAUGGACAGAAUUGCUCAAACCUGUGCUUCCUCCAGCCCCACAAUAGGCCUCUGACAGAGCUGUGGAAGCCAGAGCCCCCACUAGCUUGGUUUGGUUGGCAGAGAGAAACCAUGAGCAGGAGAUGGUGGCCUCCUGUCUGCCCACCCCACCCCCAUUUAUCACAUGGUAGCCAUUCGAGCUCACAGCCUGUUGGAAAUUGGGAGGGAGUCUCUGGUUCCUGAGGUCUCAGGCCCUCGGGUAGGAAACAGAGAAGGGUCAGGAAGGUGGGUAGCAAGGAGACUUUAGAGUCCUCUCUGAACUUGCUUUGUAAGAUGUGGUUUGACACGGGCCCUUUGAGAGGCAGCUCAGGGCACUGGUGCUAGGCUGGGGCAUCAUGCACUGUGAGGCAAUUCUCCACCAGCAGCAAGAGCUGCCAACAAAACUAGGGUCAGCUUGUGGGUGUGAGAAACAAGAGAUGCCGGCGGUUGGGGGGGGGUUGUUGAGGACUCCACUUCAAUUCCUAGCACUCGAGCAGGAGACUCACAGGCGUCUGCUGCUUCCUGGGCCUUCUACGCUUCUGGCCUCCAUGGAGGGCACUGCACUUGAGUGUAUAAACCUGUAGAUACACUCACAUACAUGUAAUUAAAAAUAAGGUAAAUCUUGAAAAAAAAGUAAAAAUCUACCUCUUUCCUCAAGGGAGAUAAGAAAUCAUUUAUUCCAGCCUGGGAACAGAGACUUAGGCUCCCCCAAGUUCCAUGUUCCAUUGUGGCAGGAAGUCUCGUGAAGUUUUAAAUGUAGAACUAAGAAAGUCAUAAGUCAACACUUUUCACAUCAUUGGAGAGUGCAUAAGAUAGGUGGUGGACUGGAGAGAUGACUCAGUGGGUAAGAGCACUGACUGCUCUUCCAGAUUACUUGAGUUCAAUACCCAGCAACCACAUGGUGGCUCACAACCUUCUAUAAUGGGAUCUGAUGCCCUCUUCUGGUGUGUCUGAAGAGAGCAAUGGUGUACUCAUAUACAUAAAAUAAAUAAAUACAUCUUUUUAAAAAAGGUAGGUGGUUACAGCAAAUUGGGGACACCUUUGCUACAAGCUUCAGAUGCUGUCUGAUGGCAUUCUUAGUGUUUGGAUUGGGGGAAGGUAGGGAGGGGUCUGCUCACCAUUCCAAAAGGACUUAGAUAAUAGUUAUGUCAGGGCACACACACGUGGGGGUGGGCAGUAAAUGGCUAUUCAACUGAAAGGCUCCAGAAGGCCGAGAUGAAGUGUACUUACGCUUUGGGCACGCAACAAUCCAGCCUUUUAUUUCCAAACGUUUACAUCCUAAUCAACUUGCUGUUGUAGCUGCAGCUUCUUUCCGAGGACUUGUUCACAGUGCCAACUCUGAAAAUGACCAGAAGUGCCACUGUAGCACAAGCCCUUGCACUCUGCACCUCAGCCUACCUUCUUGGUGAGCUAGAGCAGAGCAUGUGAGGAUUCAGUGGGCACAAGCACCCGGAGCGACCAGCAGAGGGCAGGCACCUGCACAGAGGAUUCGGCAGCCGCUCAAGGGGAAUCAAGAGGCAGCUAGACUCUGGGUAUCUUCAAGAUUUUGGAAUUUAAUCCCCCUGAAUAAACUCUCUAUGAAAGGC
Molecule: long non-coding RNA, 4129 nt
Organism: Apodemus sylvaticus (European woodmouse)
Lineage: Eukaryota; Metazoa; Chordata; Mammalia; Rodentia; Muridae
Exons: 2
Source: RefSeq, a predicted model, not a curated record